RNAcentral lists this ribosomal RNA (579 nucleotides) under Trichoderma simplex. RNAcentral's name for it is "eukaryotic LSU rRNA". The stretch from base 202 to 355 matches the Rfam family "5.8S ribosomal RNA". Lineage: Eukaryota; Fungi; Ascomycota; Sordariomycetes; Hypocreales; Hypocreaceae. The record is from RNAcentral.
CCGAGUUUACAACUCCCAAACCCAAUGUGAACGUUACCAAACUGUUGCCUCGGCGGGAUCUUCUGCCCCGGGUGCGUCGCAGCCCCGGACCAAGGCGCCCGCCGGAGGACCAACCCAAAACUCUUAUUGUAUACCCCUCGCGGGUUUUUUAUAAUCUGAGCCUUCUCGGCGCCUCUCGUAGGCGUUUCGAAAAUGAAUCAAAACUUUCAACAACGGAUCUCUUGGUUCUGGCAUCGAUGAAGAACGCAGCGAAAUGCGAUAAGUAAUGUGAAUUGCAGAAUUCAGUGAAUCAUCGAAUCUUUGAACGCACAUUGCGCCCGCCAGUAUUCUGGCGGGCAUGCCUGUCCGAGCGUCAUUUCAACCCUCGAACCCCUCCGGGGGGUCGGCGUUGGGGAUCGGCCUCCUCUCACGGGGGCCGUCUCCGAAAUACAGUGGCGGUCUCGCCGCAGCCUCUCCUGCGCAGUAGUUUGCACACUCGCAUCGGGAGCGCGGCGCGUCCACAGCCGUUAAACACCCCAAACUUCUGAAAUGUUGACCUCGGAUCAGGUAGGAAUACCCGCUGAACUUAAGCAUAUCAAA